This 797-nucleotide long non-coding RNA is filed under the name Monodelphis domestica (gray short-tailed opossum). RNAcentral describes it as "lncRNA (ENSMODG00000029994.2)". Lineage: Eukaryota; Metazoa; Chordata; Mammalia; Didelphimorphia; Didelphidae. The record is from RNAcentral.
GCAGAAAAAGCUCCAGGAGAAUAUGAAACUUGUACGUGAAACUUUAAAAGAUGUUCAGAAGUUGAUACUAGAGGAGAAGAAGGUACCUCGGACAUGGGCUGUCCUGUGGACAAAUCUCGACGGGUGCAGUGCCAUUAUCCAUAUGAAUUUACUGAUGACCGAAAGAGGACUAUCACUUUCGCAGAUACUUCCUCAGGUCAGAUGUAUGCUGUUUAUACCUCUGGAAGUCUUCACUACAUUAAUGGGAUGGAUUUGUCUUUUACACGACUGGAUAUGGAUGGCAUGUCUGAAGAAGAGCAAGAAGAUCCCAUCUUUGCCUGUUACUGUGUGCCAGUUGAAAGGGAGAACUCGAUUAGCAAUUACCCUUCUAAACCCUCAAUAGAAUGGCAUUAGGAACAGAUAGAUGCCUGGGCAAACUAAGGACAGAGUUUCAGGAGGGUAUUGAAACUAUAUUCCACUUGUUCACUAGUUACGUGUGUAUCAGGGUAAAAUGUCAGUUUUGGUAAUUAAGAACUUAGUGGAAUCUUGUAUUGUCUUCUCCUUACUUCAACUAUGUCUAGAACAAAUGUGAUCUGCUGAAGAAAAUAAGCUUUAAAGCUUGCCUUCCCCCCUCUCCCACCUAUUACAUUUCCAUCUUGGGAUAUCAUUGAUGGGAAAUGGGUGCUGGACUUUGGAGUAAAGGAAAGACUUGUUGAUUCUCACCUCAGGUACCCGACACACAGGUUGUGCCACAGAUUGAUUCUUACAAAAUAUCACACAAUGUAUAUGAAUAAACAUUUGGUGGGGGGAAGUUUACA